This is a long non-coding RNA of Urocitellus parryii (Arctic ground squirrel), 251 nucleotides long. RefSeq lists it as uncharacterized. Lineage: Eukaryota; Metazoa; Chordata; Mammalia; Rodentia; Sciuridae. The record is from RefSeq and is a predicted model, not a curated record.
GUGUGGCAGAGGGAAGCAGCUCACAUCAUGAUCAGUGUGUGCCACCACGCCAGGCAAAGAUGGAGAUGGGACCUGGUGACCCUGGGCAGCAGCCUUUCCUUGAGACAUCUCCCCCACCAGCAAGACCUCAACUUCCUCAACUUUUAACUCCUUGACACACAGGAGGUGAGAAGGAGACCUGGCCUGAUCAACUGAGAAAAGCUGUGUUCCUGUCAAAAGGCACUCAACCCAGAGGGCCUGUCCCACCACAA